This 612-nucleotide long non-coding RNA is filed under the name Mus musculus (house mouse). RNAcentral describes it as "expressed sequence C87487". Lineage: Eukaryota; Metazoa; Chordata; Mammalia; Rodentia; Muridae. The record is from RNAcentral.
AGACGGAAGUUUGCUGAAUAAACUGCUGUUAGAAGGACUGGUGGUCGUGAACACCAAGCAAGAACGCUGGUUGAGAGCAGACAUGACAGAAUUAACAGCAAUAUGGCUCUGGUGAUAGUGACUCCAGAAGAGAAAAGCAUUUGGACUGGAUGCCAUUCACAGUGAAAUAUAGGAGCUACAAGAGGAAAAUAAGUACACGGAGCUGGCAGUGCUUGCAUAGUAUAGAGGCGAAUGCAUCAACACAGGUGUUCCUUUGAAGGAUUGCUUUAAAAACCGGUUUCUAUGGUAACCGCAUCCUGUCUAAGACUGAAAAGAAUUAAUGUUGACUUGAAUUGGGCUGUAUCAACUUUCAGACAAUCCACACAGAUUCCAGCAAAUAUACUCUGUGCUAAUAUUCAAGGUUCAAACCUUGUUAUCACCAUUGUGGGAUCUGCCUAAAUAUGUCCUAUCUGAGUUAAUGGGUGGGUGUUUGAGUUAAGAAUGACAACAUCCCACCCACUUUGUUCUACAUGAAGGUCAAACCCAAGUGUGUAAGGAUACACUUCCCUUACACUUACCAACAUGACUUCAGAAAACCAUGGACUUUUGCCUGUCUACAGGCAUAAACUUUUA